Molecule: ribosomal RNA, 473 nt
Filed under: Escherichia coli
Lineage: Bacteria; Pseudomonadati; Pseudomonadota; Gammaproteobacteria; Enterobacterales; Enterobacteriaceae
Description: partial 23S ribosomal RNA
Rfam family: Bacterial large subunit ribosomal RNA
Source: RNAcentral
UUGUGAGGUUAAGCGACUAAGCGUACACGGUGGAUGCCCUGGCAGUCAGAGGCGAUGAAGGACGUGCUAAUCUGCGAUAAGCGUCGGUGAGGUGAUAUGAACCGUUAUAACCGGCGAUUUCCGAAUGGGGAAACCCAGUGUGUUUCGACACACUAUCAUUAACUGAAUCCAUAGGUUAAUGAGGCGAACCGGGGGAACUGAAACAUCUAAGUACCCCGAGGAAAAGAAAUCAACCGAGAUUCCCCCAGUAGCGGCGAGCGAACGGGGAGGAGCCCAGAGCCUGAAUCAGUGUGUGUGUUAGUGGAAGCGUCUGGAAAGGCGCGCGAUACAGGGUGACAGCCCCGUACACAAAAAUGCACAUAUUGUGAGCUCGAUGAGUAGGGCGGGACACGUGGUAUCCUGUCUGAAUAUGGGGGGACCAUCCUCCAAGGCUAAAUACUCCUGACUGACCGAUAGUGAACCAGUACCGUGAG